This is a long non-coding RNA of Lemur catta (Ring-tailed lemur), 1325 nucleotides long. RefSeq lists it as uncharacterized. NCBI's taxonomy places the organism in Eukaryota, Metazoa, Chordata, Mammalia, Primates, Lemuridae. The record is from RefSeq and is a predicted model, not a curated record. The transcript has 3 exons.
GGGAGGUGACACUUGACAUGGGAAGUCAUCGUGAACUCCAAGUGCCAAGCAAGGACACUCCCUGUACUUAAAGAAGUAGGCCCCGAAGCCAGGCCUAUAAAGGGUAAGAAAAACACUCUGGCAUUCAAAGCCAAGUUCAAUUUCAGGACACAGGGGAUUUGCAGGGGACAGAAUCCCCCCAGGCCCUGUCCUUUCUGCCACAGAGGAGUCCAGGGGGGCCCCUCCGAUGUCACAGUCCUGCAAAAGUGCCAUGGAGAAUGUCACUCAAGGCCCCAGCCUCCCCCAACCCUUGCUGCAAGAAACUGCAGCGUCACCCCGGCUUCCACUAACGUCUGUGCCUUUGUUGGAGACACUGUUUGCAUUUCAGAAAGAACCAAGCAGGGAACAGGAUCAAGCCCCUCUGUGAUAGGCCCGAUGCUGAUUUCGGAAGAUCAACAACUCACUUUCUCCCGGGCAGCAUUUCUGGGGUGUUGUCCUGCCGGGCCAAUGGGGCCGGAGCACAGAAGUGCCCCCUCAAAGGGGUGACACCUAGCCAGGACAGUCCCUGCAGCCCAGCUCUCCUGAAUGGACAACAGUGGGCGACAGGGGCCUGCUGACCUCCAGAGGAGCAGUCUGCAGCUGCCAGCAGGUGAAACCGGGCCGUGCCUUCCUACGGGGGCAGCUUGCCCAGGGAGACUUCUGGAAGGAGAUUCAUUCAGGAGUGCCCACUGUACCCGAGGCACCGUGCCAGGUGGAGGAGAUACAGCAGUGAGGGAGACAGGUGAAGUCUCUGCCCUCAUGGAGUGACAUUCUAAAGAUGCAUAAUUAAAACAAAAUAAAUAUUAAUAUAUCAGUCACCGGACUAAAAGGCGCGUGGACAUCUGGUUUUGGACGUCCCUGCGAGCAUUUCUGGAGUCUUUCGAGACUCAAGGAGGUCUCCUUUCCGGCAUUCUCUGAGCCUCCCUGAGAAUGUCAGGAAUUAGCCCCUGGGUGGCCUGACCUCCCGCCUGGGCCUGGGAAGCCAACAAAAGCCCCCGCCUUCCCAGGGCUGUGCGCUGCAGGCAGACACAGAUGGCAGGGCGUCCACACUGCGUCAUCCCUGGUUACCGCUCCGGUUCCCAAAGCAGCCCUGGCCCGAACCGCCCUGCGUGCGCGGCCGCUCAGGCCCGGUCAAGGUGAGAGCACGAGCCAGAGGCCUGUGUGCACCGGACGAGACCUGCAGACUCGGAGCUGAGAGUGCGUGUCCCUCCUGGGUCCCCUCCGGCUUCGGCCCGACAGAACCAGUAAGACUGUAAUUCUCAUUUUUAAAAUAUUAAUGCAGGCCGGGCGCGGUGGCUCCCGCCUGU